GAUGAACGCUGGCGGCGUGCCUAAUACAUGCAGGUCGAGCGAACAGACGAGGAGCCUGCUCCUCUGACGUUAGCGGCGGACGGGUGAGUAACACGUGGAUAACCUACCUAUAAGACUGGGAUAACUUCGGGAAACCGGAGCUAAUACCGGAUAAUAUAUUGAACCGCAUGGUUCAAUAGUGAAAGACGGUUUUGCUGUCACUUAUAGAUGGAUCCGCGCCGCAUUAGCUAGUUGGUAAGGUAACGGCUUACCAAGGCGACGAUGCGUAGCCGACCUGAGAGGGUGAUCGGCCACACUGGAACUGAGACACGGUCCAGACUCCUACGGGAGGCAGCAGUAGGGAAUCUUCCGGAAUGGGCGAAAGCCUGACGGAGCAACGCCGCGUGAGUGAUGAAGGUCUUCGGAUCGUAAAACUCUGUUAUUAGGGAAGAACAAAUGUGUAAGUAACUAUGCACGUCUUGACGGUACCUAAUCAGAAAGCCACGGCUAACUACGUG
RNAcentral lists this ribosomal RNA (497 nucleotides) under uncultured bacterium. RNAcentral's name for it is "partial 16S ribosomal RNA". It matches the Rfam family "Bacterial small subunit ribosomal RNA", at positions 28 to 507 of the family's 1533-position model. The record is from RNAcentral.